AACUGACAGUGGAGUAAAUUCUAUUGAUGGCUAAGGAUAGUCUGCUGCAGCUGACCUGGAAUGGCAGUGUAAUAAUAUUGGAGGAUUGCCCCAGUAAUUUGCAUUUCACUGUGUUUAACAUUUUUGCAUCUUGCAAAUGAUAAACAUUUCUAGAAAGGAAGAAAAAGUUGAUUAUAUUCUAGGGGAACGGGCCAAGUGGUCAAAUCCAUGUACCAACACCAGGACUGGGCUACGUUAGAAUGAACAGGUGAAAGGCCACAAGGGAAUUGGAAAAUGAGGAUUUGGAAGAGGAUGAUACACAGGAACACUUAAAUCAGAUUCAAAGUGAGGAGGAUUAUGUUACUUUAACAUUUGAAACCCUAACAACAGCAGAUUCGCAACCAUCCACUUCAUCAGCAUGUUCUACACCAAUGCCAAAGCCUACCGAUCAUGUUGUCAUGUUCCCGUUCUGAAGUGUUGAGCAUGUUCCAAUAACUGUGUGAAAAAUUUGAAGUGCUUUCUGCAAAAAUGGAUGUCCUGAUGCAACGCUAAAAGGCAAUUUAUGUACAUUCUAAAUUGUGUCACAUGCAACAAGGUUUGUUGCUAAAGGGGUAUUCGAGAAAAAAAC
Long non-coding RNA from Hyla sarda, 607 nucleotides. RefSeq lists it as uncharacterized. The record is from RefSeq and is a predicted model, not a curated record. Lineage: Eukaryota; Metazoa; Chordata; Amphibia; Anura; Hylidae. The transcript has 3 exons.